Molecule: small nuclear RNA, 279 nt
Filed under: Marmota monax (woodchuck)
Lineage: Eukaryota; Metazoa; Chordata; Mammalia; Rodentia; Sciuridae
Description: 7SK RNA
Rfam family: 7SK RNA
About the family: 7SK was discovered as an abundant small nuclear RNA in the mid-70s but a possible function has only recently been suggested. Two independent studies have found that 7SK RNA binds the CDK9/cyclin T complex (known as elongation factor P-TEFb).
Source: Rfam by way of RNAcentral
GGAUGUGAGGGUAAUCUGGUUGCGAGAUCUGUCACCCCAUUGAUUGCCAGUGUUGAUUCGGCUGACCUGGCUGGCUAGGCAGGUGUGCCCUUUCUCCCUCACGUAUGUCCUUCUCAAAGCUGCAAGUUCAGUCAAAGUGGACGACCUUCUCUGAUAGAGGAGGACCAUGUGCUCCCCUGCUAGAACCUCCAAACAAGCUCUCAACAUGGAUCUUAGAGGCUGGGAUUGUAGCUCAGUGGUAGAGCAUUUGCCUAGCAUUCCUGAGGCCCUGGGUUUAAU